Molecule: long non-coding RNA, 953 nt
Organism: Phyllopteryx taeniolatus (common seadragon)
Lineage: Eukaryota; Metazoa; Chordata; Actinopteri; Syngnathiformes; Syngnathidae
Exons: 3
Source: RefSeq, a predicted model, not a curated record
UCCGUCCAGGCUGAGUUGUAAAAGCCCAGUGUUCUGGUGGCUGUGACACAGUAAGGACACUGUGCUGCUGUUGGGUUUGCUCUUGUUAUACAUAAUCAUUGUCAUCAUCCCUUUGUCUCUCUCUCUCCAGCUCACGGCUCAAAUGACAGCUCGGAGGCCAGCCGGGUCAGGCCAGAAAUCCACUAAAGGCUGAUGAUUGCCUGUGAUUACAGCCUGUGUCCUCCCGGAUGCCUCCCGCCGACCGUCUCCUCUGGGCUCAUCUGGCGGCUCUCCGCACUCCAACGUUAACCGGAGCGAGGAAAAUCUCGGGGCAUGGGGGCGCAGACACGCUUUCCCCCCCCCCCCCCCCCCCUCCACCUUGACAUCGCCUGGAGGUGACACCAUUCAUUUUCAGAGUGAAGUACAGCUCUCGGAGACAACUCGACGGACAUCUGUGCACCUGUAACAACCAGCCUCAGGGAUGCAAAAGUUGUCACAAGUCCACCUGGGUGAACGACGCCAGCUACGCAAUUCCCUAAAAUAGGCAGUGAAGCAGAAAGCACAACUAACAAGAAAAUGACCCCAUGGAUCCUGAUGAUGAUGAUUGGCGCAGGAAACACACGAACCUUCCACAGCCAAGCACGCAGCAGGCAGAAGCAAAGCUGACAGAAAUAAACACUGAAUUAUCGAAUUAAUACUGUACUUCCACACUGGAUUUGUCAUUCGGCAGCCUUUCCCAGUGUCAGAACCUCGGGAGAACCCGGGACAAAAGAGCAAUUAGACACAGCAAGCGCACAGUCUUUCUGUAAUAAAUCCUGUCUCAAAUGGAUGGGAAAAUGAUGGCUGCCAGCCCAGUUUUGUGAACAUGUUAUAUUAAUGAAUAGGGCUCAGAGCAUUUUGACCUAUCUGCUUGGUCCACUGGGUUUCGGUAAUGGGGAGGAUGUAGCGGUGAAGGGGGAAGCACUCGUUAAAUC